This 435-nucleotide ribosomal RNA is filed under the name uncultured bacterium. Its description in RNAcentral is "bacterial SSU rRNA". It matches the Rfam family "Bacterial small subunit ribosomal RNA", at positions 8 to 447 of the family's 1533-position model. The record is from RNAcentral.
AGAGUUUGAUCCUGGCUCAGAUUGAACGCUGGCGGCAUGCCUUACACAUGCAAGUCGAACGGCAGCGCGGGGCAACCUGGCGGCGAGUGGCGAACGGGUGAGUAAUAUAUCGGAACGUACCCUGGAGUGGGGGAUAACGUAGCGAAAGUUACGCUAAUACCGCAUACGAUCUAAGGAUGAAAGUGGGGGAUCGCAAGACCUCAUGCUCCUGGAGCGGCCGAUAUCUGAUUAGCUAGUUGGCGGGGUAAAAGCCCACCAAGGCAACGAUCAGUAGCUGGUCUGAGAGGGCGACCAGCCACACUGGAACUGAGACACGGUCCAGACUCCUACGGGAGGCAGCAGUGGGGAAUUUUGGACAAUGGGCGCAAGCCUGAUCCAGCAAUGCCGCGUGAGUGAAGAAGGCCUUCGGGUUGUAAAGCUCUUUUGUCAGGGAAG